GAAUAAGUUAGGUUCUUUAUUGUUUUGUUUAUUAAAACUUUAAUACUAGGUAGUUGUGAACAAUAUGGAAGAUUAAGUACUGAAAAGGAAUAUAUUGAAGUAGGGUUAAAUCUUAAUUGGUUCAAUAAAGGUGAGGUCUGUUUCCUUUUGCAUAAUGAUUUAAUUAGAGUAAAACUUGUAUAAGUUUAUUAUUAGUUAACCCGAAACUAAACGAUCUAUUCUAGCUCAAGUAGUGUUUGACUGAACCAGUUUAUGUUGCAAUAUAAUUGGAUGAAGUUGGGGUAGGUGUGAUAUGCUAAUCGUGUUUAGUUCUAGCUGGUUGCUUAAGAAAUGAAUAUAAGUUCAGCUUACUAAUAUACUAAGUGGGACUGGUCGGAAUAUGCUGAUUAGUCUAGAGGUGAACAAACUUAUACUAAAUUUGAAUGGUGAUAUUUCUUUUUGUGGGCUUAAAAGCAGCCAUCUAGUGAGGAUAGCGUUAUAGCUUGAAUUAGUAAAUCAAUUUUAUUUUAGUGGGGUAGUAAGCAACUUUGGUAAGAAUUUUAUGUUAAAAUGCGUAGGUUAAAUAACUUAAACAUAAGUGUGCAGUGAGUUAGGCUUUUUAUGUAACUUAUACAGGGAAUAUGCUGAAAGUUGGUCUGACAUAAGAGUGUUAUUAAGUUAUUAAGUUAAGGGAUAGGAACUCGGCAAAUAUCAAGCUCGCCUGUUUAACAAAAACAUCGCCUCUAGGUAAAUGUUAGAGGUCUGGUCUGCCCAGUGUUGUAAAAUUAACGGCCGCGGUAUUCUGACUGUGCAAAGGUAGCAUAAUCACUUGCCCUUUAAAUGGGGGAAUGUAUGAAUGAUUAGACGAGGUUUUAGCUGUCUUUUCCUUAAAAGUUGAGAUUACAUUGCUUGUGAAAAUGCGAGCAAAUUUUUAAUGGACGAGAAGACCCUGUUGAGCUUUUGAAUGAAACAUAGGUGUAAGUUAACUUAAAUAAGUGGUUAUUAUUGAAAUGUACAUGUUUGGUAAAUUCUUUGGCUGGGGUGGCAAGUAAAGAUAUUAAGCUUUAUUCAAAUUAAAAUAAAUUAAUGUUACGAGACGGUAUAUGUCAACAAAUGUUAGGGUGAUCCGUUUAGACUAAGCGAUUAAUAGAAUAAGUUACCACAGGGAUAACAGCGUUAUUCUUUUUGAGAGCUCGAAUUGACAAAAGAGUUUGCGACCUCGAUGUUGGAUCAAGAUUCCUGGCGGUGUAGCAGCUGCUAUGGGUUUGCCUGUUCGGCGAUUAAAAUCUUACGUGAUCUGAGUUCAGACCGUCGUAAGACAGGUUAGAUUCUAUCCUUAAGUUCAUGCGUUUAGUACGAAAGGACCAAUGGCAUGUGAUUUAAAGCUUUUGUUAAAUCAUAA
This 1381-nucleotide ribosomal RNA is filed under the name Branchiostoma belcheri (Belcher's lancelet). RNAcentral describes it as "16S ribosomal RNA". It matches the Rfam family "Bacterial large subunit ribosomal RNA", at positions 420 to 2734 of the family's 2925-position model. The record is from RNAcentral. Lineage: Eukaryota; Metazoa; Chordata; Leptocardii; Amphioxiformes; Branchiostomatidae.